RNAcentral lists this ribosomal RNA (465 nucleotides) under Vreelandella stevensii. RNAcentral's name for it is "partial 16S ribosomal RNA". It matches the Rfam family "Bacterial small subunit ribosomal RNA", at positions 338 to 795 of the family's 1533-position model. The record is from RNAcentral. Lineage: Bacteria; Pseudomonadati; Pseudomonadota; Gammaproteobacteria; Oceanospirillales; Halomonadaceae.
CCUACGGGAGGCUGCAGUGGGGAAUAUUGGACAAUGGGGGCAACCCUGAUCCAGCCAUGCCGCGUGUGUGAAGAAGGCCCUCGGGUUGUAAAGCACUUUCAAUGAGGAAGAACGCCUGGUGGUUAAUACCCAUCAGGAAAGACAUCACUCACAGAAGAAGCACCGGCUAACUCCGUGCCAGCAGCCGCGGUAAUACGGAGGGUGCGAGCGUUAAUCGGAAUUACUGGGCGUAAAGCGCGCGUAGGUGGCUUGAUAAGCCGGUUGUGAAAGCCCCGGGCUCAACCUGGGAACGGCAUCCGGAACUGUCAAGCUAGAGUGCAGGAGAGGAAGGUAGAAUUCCCGGUGUAGCGGUGAAAUGCGUAGAGAUCGGGAGGAAUACCAGUGGCGAAGGCGGCCUUCUGGACUGACACUGACACUGAGGUGCGAAAGCGUGGGUAGCAAACAGGAUUAGAUACCCUAGUAGUC